CUUCUUUAGAUGUGUUGACUUUGUGGAAGAACCCCAGUUAACAGGAACAUAGGGAGGGGUUUUCUUCAUUCUCUCAUUCAGGUACCCCCAUUUUUACCGUCAAUGGCUUUUUCCCCGUAAAGAAGCUAAGUUUGGCUUGACAUCUCUACAGGGCUCCUCUUCAUAGGCAACCAGGAGCUGAGAAGACCUCAUUCAUGCUGAGAUAGUCCUGUCUUCAAGAGAAAAGAGCCUUGUCUUACUGUGUUGACCAGCCUGGAGUGCAGUGGUGUGAUCAUGGCUCACUGCAGCCUCGAACUCCUGGGUUCAAGUGAUUUUUCCUGCCUUAACUUCUCUAGUACUUGGGACUACAGGCAUGUGUCACCAACCUGGCUAAUAUUUGUAUUUAUUUUGUAGAGACAAAGUUUUGCUAUGUUGACCAGGCUGGUCUCAAACUCCUGACCUCAAGUGAUUUUCCUGCUUGGCCACCCAAAGUGCUGGGAUUAUAGGCGUGAGCCACUAUGCCUGGCCAGUUAUGAAUUCUUUAUGUGCAUUUUGAGGACUCAUUUGAAUCCAGGCUCAUGUACCACCUAAGACAGAUUGCUAAAAUACCUUCCAUUCCAUAAGUAAAUUUUGCAUACUUAUUGAAUUAUUUGAAAAUAUAUAUGUGUGUGUG
RNAcentral lists this long non-coding RNA (652 nucleotides) under Homo sapiens (human). Its description in RNAcentral is "HSALNT0163436". The record is from RNAcentral. Lineage: Eukaryota; Metazoa; Chordata; Mammalia; Primates; Hominidae.